ACCAGCAAUCACGAUGAAAAAAUGAAACGAACGAAAACCAGCGACACCAUCUUCUGACCUGCAAAAAUUUAUACACCGUCAUCACCCUCCAUCUCCACCACCACCACCCUGCGCCUCAAAAUGAAUUUUCAGUUUCAUCUUCGACUAUUAUCACGCCCUCCUCCUCCUCUCCACCACCUUACUUUUUUCAAACCUUUACAAAAACCUUUGCCGAAAAUAUGAGCUCUCUCUUUUAAUUUUAUCUGAUUUUGAAAUUUUGAAGUGUCAAUUUCAAUUUCAAAUCAAGUUAUUUCAUAGAGAAGGGGUUCUGCUUUAAAUUUCAUUAUACACAACUUACUUCACUGAUUAGAGUAGAUUCAGACGAUUUGGAUUCCCAACUCUGGGGUUUUAAACAUCAAAAUUUUCCCCAAAAUUCCAAAUAGAUGAUUCUUUGAGGGUAUGCACAAGUUAUAAAAUAAAGGUCGAUGUGGUCUACAAUGGGCUACUGCAAAUGCGUGGCGAGAUGUUUGGUCGCUUAGACCCAUCCUUGACAUCAAGUUUUAUGAAACUAAAUCUAGGUCUUAGAAUGGAGGGGCAUCUUGGCAGGUCUGCAAUUGCAUCAGGCAUGCGUCUUUGAUUCAAAUCAAAAAGUCAUAUGGGAACUGAAGAAAAUGUAAGGAUGUUGAUGUCAAAUGGUCCCACGUCUUUGAUGGGAUUACAUUAUAUAAUUGUCUUAGAAUGGAGGGGCAUCUUGGCAGGUCUGCAAUUGCAUCAGGCAUGCGUCUUUGAUUCAAAUCAAAAAGUCAUAUGGGAACUGAAGAAAAUGUAAGGAUGUUGAUGUCAAAUGGUCCCACGUCGAAGAGAUAUUGAAUUAUAGGGAUCUGUGAGCAUCAGAAAUGGAUGUCCAACUUUCGGUUCAAAUUGUAGGCCUAUCGCUCUUGAGAAUUCACUAGAGAGAAAAUGUUUGGAGCAUAUUUAGCACACUGGGGUUUGGGCAUGUCUUUGUUUUACCUCCAAGGCAGGGAUAAAUCAGAGACAUGGAAACUAUUGGAACUCGCUCUGUUAAUCAGAGACAAAACAUGACUGCAGAGCAGCUGGCCAUUCAACGAGCAAUGAAUUGUGAUCGACAAAGCAUCCGUAAGCAAAACAUGACGGAGGAGCAGAGGUCUUCUGUACGCGAGCAUGAUCGUAUUCGACAUAGAGCCGCCAAAGAAAAGCUGAACCUUCCUUCAACACCUACAGGCAACAAUGCUGCACACCUGUUUGAACGUGUUACACAACAACAUAUGCAGAUAGAAGUUGAAGGCUAUGUGGAAUUAGGCCAUCAACACCUAGGCUAUACACGAAAAAUACAAAAUACGGAACAAACGGAACGGCAGGCGCAUCGCGCAUGCGUGUUAUACUAGUAUCUAGAAAGAAAUCUUGGCCUACCGACCCUCUUUUUAUUGCAUUCCUUAAAUAGGUUGUUUAACAAUCUUUUAAGACAGCGUAGCUUAUUACUUUAAACAUGGCGUUUCUUUUUAUAACCUUUGUAUAGGAUUCUUUAUUUUUUUUUUCAUAU
Long non-coding RNA from Papaver somniferum (opium poppy), 1540 nucleotides. RefSeq lists it as uncharacterized. The record is from RefSeq and is a predicted model, not a curated record. NCBI's taxonomy places the organism in Eukaryota, Viridiplantae, Streptophyta, Magnoliopsida, Ranunculales, Papaveraceae. The transcript is spliced from 5 exons.